AACACACAGGACACAUGAGAAUCGGACUUAAUCUGGAUAUACGAUAAACUGCGCUAUAAUACCCGUGAAUAGAGAUGAUAUGGAUUAGCUGAUUUCGGACAUCAUGGAAUGACAUCAUCCUCUCAUAUGGAAUUGGGGCAAUGUGAAAAACAGUGUCUGAGAUAUACAAUGGGUAAAGAGGACCUGAGACCUAGGACCAUGCAUCAGGACUACCUGGCAUGAUGACUCCUUGCUGUCCCCAGUCCACCUGGCCUUGCUGCUGUUCCAGUUUCAACUGUUCUGCCUGUGGCUAUGGAACCCUAAACUGUUCAUAUUUAUUCUAGAGGUGCUGUCCUGUUGCAUCCUCGACAUCCACUGUGAUCAUUAUUAUUUGACCCUGCUGGUCAUCUAUAAACAUUUGAACAUCUUGGCCAUGUUCUGUUAUAAUCUCCACCCGGCACAGCCAGAAGAGGACUGGCCACCUCUCAUAGCCUGGUUUCUUCCUAGGUUCUGGCCUUUCUAGGGAAUUGUUCCUAGCCACCGUGCUUCUACACCUGCAUUGCUUACUGUUUGGGGUUUUAUGCUGGGUUUCUGUACAGCACUUUGAGAUAUCAGCUGAUGUAAGAAGGGCUUUAUAAGUAAAUUUGAUUUGAUAAAUACACCUCUGCUGUCUUCAUCGCCCCAGCGAUCACUGCCUCAUUGCCUGCGUACGUAAUGUGUCCGCGGUCAAACGACCACCCCUCAUCACUUUCAAAUGCUCCCUAAAACACUUAAGCGAGCAGGCCUUUCUAAUUGAUCUGGCCCGGGUAUCCUGGAAGGAUAUUGACCUCAUCGAGUCAGUAGAGGAUGCCUAGUUUCUCUUCAAAAGUGCAUUCCUCUCCAUCUUAAUUAAGUAAGCAUGCCCCAUUCAAAAAAUGUAGAACAAAGAACAGAUAUGAACAGAUAUAGCCCUUGGUUCACCACAGACUUGACUGCGGCGUUCUGCAUUAGCAUCGAAUAGCCCCGGCGAUAUGCAAAGUCAGGAAGCAAUAUACUCAGUCAGUUAGGAAAGCUAAGGUUAGCUUUUUCAAACAGAAAUUUGCUUCCUGUAGCACUAAUUUCAAAACAUUUUGGGACACUGCAAAGUCCAUGGAGAAUAAGAGCACCUCCUCCCAGCUGCCCACUGCACUGAGGAUAGGAAACACUGUCACCACUGAUAAACCUACAUUAAUCGAUAAUUUCAAUAAGCAUUUUUCCAC
This is a long non-coding RNA of Oncorhynchus tshawytscha (Chinook salmon), 1217 nucleotides long. The record is from Ensembl. NCBI's taxonomy places the organism in Eukaryota, Metazoa, Chordata, Actinopteri, Salmoniformes, Salmonidae.